AUUGAACGCUGGCGGCAUGCCUUACACAUGCAAGUCGAACGGCAGCACGGGAGCUUGCUCCUGGUGGCGAGUGGCGAACGGGUGAGUAAUACAUCGGAACGUACCCAGUAGUGGGGGAUAACGCACCGAAAGGUGCGCUAAUACCGCAUACGACCUCAGGGUGAAAGCGGGGGACCGUAAGGCCUCGCGCUAUUGGAGCGGCCGAUGUCUGAUUAGCUAGUUGGCGGGGUAAAGGCCCACCAAGGCGACGAUCAGUAGCUGGUCUGAGCGGACGAUCAGCCACACUGGGACUGAGACACGGCCCAGACUCCUACGGGAGGCAGCAGUGGGGAAUUUUGGACAAUGGGGGCAACCCUGAUCCAGCAAUGCCGCGUGUGCGAAGAAGGCCUUCGGGUUGUAAAGCACUUUUGUCAGGGAAGAAACAGCAGCUCUAACACAGUCUGCGAAUGACGGUACCUGAAGAAUAAGCACCGGCUAACUACGUGCCAGCCGCCGCCGUAA
Molecule: ribosomal RNA, 501 nt
Filed under: uncultured bacterium
Lineage: Bacteria
Description: partial 16S ribosomal RNA
Rfam family: Bacterial small subunit ribosomal RNA
Source: RNAcentral